Molecule: long non-coding RNA, 1604 nt
Organism: Syngnathus typhle (broad-nosed pipefish)
Lineage: Eukaryota; Metazoa; Chordata; Actinopteri; Syngnathiformes; Syngnathidae
Exons: 4
Source: RefSeq, a predicted model, not a curated record
GUGUAAGCCCUCUGUACAAUCAUACAUUUUCAAUCAACUUUGCUGGAUUGUCCUUUUUUCUCCACAAAGACCUUGAGCAUGCAAAAACAUUCAUCAUGGACGAAUGACUCCCAAGCAGACUCAAGGCAUGCCACCCCUACAACAUGGCAGCACAAGAGAUGCUCAAUUCCAUCCCUGAAGACAUCUCCAGAGAUGCCUGGCUGGCAGCAGCUUGGAAGCAGGAGUGGGAGGCAGCUGGCCCCUCCCUCAUGCACAGUUAUGUCUGGGAACCAGGAGACGGCGCCAUAGGAGGAGACGAACUACCUCGCCAGCAGUGGACCACACUGAACCGCUUAAGAACUGGUGUUGGGCGCUUCAACAUGUCUAGUGGGGUCUGGCGGACAGUGCGGCAUGCGAGUGCGGAGCCCUCGAGCAGACAGCCGACCACACCAUCAACACCUACACCAACAUAUAGACCACCCUCAGAGGCCGGCCUCUUCGACCUGGGACCAGAGAUGCUGGCGUGGCUCCACGACACCAAGUUGGAGCGCUGACGUUACACGAGAGAGAGAGAGAGAGAGAGAGAGAGAGAGAGAGAGAGAGAGAGAGAGAGAGAGAGAGAGAGAGAGAGAGAGAGAGAGACUCCCAAACCAGGGUGGCAAGAAGCAGGACUUCUCAUUCCUCUUUUUCUAUGUUGCGUGUGGCUCCACAUGCUCCAUUUGUCUAGACCAUUUGUUUGGCCACCUUGGUACUCAGCCUUGAUGAGACCUGGCCUGUCUCGCCAAAAAAAUGACCGACAUUUUAAGAAGAUCCAUGGGACCAGUGUUAUUCUCCUUUUCUAUUGACUCCAAGCAACAGCACAGGGAGAGCCAAGACUUUCCAAAAGACCUGUACAACGGAGGCCAGCAUCAUGAAACACAAACUCCCAAACCAGCAUGGUAACAUGAAACACAAACUCCCAAACCAGCAUGGUAACACACAGGACUUCUUCUGAUUCUUCUUAUGUUCUUGGGUCUUGCCUGUGGUUCUACACGCAUCCAGAAAUGCAGACAAAGAACAGCUUGGCCUUUAACAGUCGGAAGCCUCUGAUUUUACUCUACUAAGCCUCAGAUACAGUCUGUUUUCUGUUCUCAUUCAUUCAUUCAUUCAUUCAUUCAUUCAUUCAUUCAUUCAUUCAUUCAUUUAUUUAUUUAUUUAUUUAUUUAUUUAUUUAUUUAUUUAUUUAUUUAUUUAUUUAUUUAUUUAUUUAUUUAUUUAUUUAUUUAUUUAUUUAUUUAUUUAUUAUAUUUUUUGCCUCAAAUUAUGUUUGCAUUAGCUUUUGUAUAACAGCGUCUUCAAUCAUGUUGCACUUAAACUCUUAAAAAAUAACACUGAAAUUAACAUAACAUCCAUCCAUCCAUUCAUUCUCUGAACCGCUUAGUCCCCACGCGGGCCGCAGGUGUGCUGGAUCCUAUCCCAGCCGUCAUCGGGCAGUAGGUGGGGGACGCCCUGAACCGGUUGCCAGCCAAUCGCAGGGUACACAGCGAUUAUUAUCUAUUGAAUCAGUAAAAUACUUGAUAUGUUUUUAUUUGUUAUGUCUUCAGCGUUUUUGAAAGUUAUUCAUAUUAUUUCUUGCAUUACUUCUU